UUUUCAAUCCUCUGCAGGGAACAUAGACCCUUGGUACCCUCUGAGUGUCCUCAAGAACGAGUCCGAUUCGGAACCGGCUAUUUUAAUCAACGGCACCUCUCAUUGUGCCAAUAUGUAUUCUCCCGCACCCGGCGACCCUUUGUCCCUUAUCCAUGCCAGACAGCAAAUUACUUCCUGGGUUGGCAAAUGGCUGAAUUUAGCAAAAAUUCACUGAGACAACCU
Long non-coding RNA from Thamnophis elegans (Western terrestrial garter snake), 222 nucleotides. RefSeq lists it as uncharacterized. Lineage: Eukaryota; Metazoa; Chordata; Lepidosauria; Squamata; Natricidae. The transcript is spliced from 2 exons. The record is from RefSeq and is a predicted model, not a curated record.